GACGAACGCUGGCGGCGUGCUUAACACAUGCAAGUCGAACGGAAAGGCCCUGCUUUUGUGGGGUGCUCGAGUGGCGAACGGGUGAGUAACACGUGAGUAACCUGCCCUUGACUUUGGGAUAACUUCAGGAAACUGGGGCUAAUACCGGAUAGGAGCUCCUGCUGCAUGGUGGGGGUUGGAAAGUUUCGGCGGUUGGGGAUGGACUCGCGGCUUAUCAGCUUGUUGGUGGGGUAGUGGCUUACCAAGGCUUUGACGGGUAGCCGGCCUGAGAGGGUGACCGGCCACAUUGGGACUGAGAUACGGCCCAGACUCCUACGGGAGGCAGCAGUGGGGAAGAUUGCACAAUGGGUGGAAGCCUGAUGCAGCAACGCCGCGUGCGGGAUGACGGCCUUCGGGUUGUAAACCGCUUUCGCCUGUGACGAAGCGUGAGUGACGGUAAUGGGUAAAGAAGCACCGGCUAACUACGUG
This 468-nucleotide ribosomal RNA is filed under the name uncultured bacterium. Its description in RNAcentral is "partial 16S ribosomal RNA". It matches the Rfam family "Bacterial small subunit ribosomal RNA", at positions 28 to 507 of the family's 1533-position model. The record is from RNAcentral.